CGAGUUAGCCAGGCAAUCGCUGCUGUUUGACAGGAGAGGAAAGUCCGGGCUCCUCGAGGCAAGGUGCCAGGUAAUCCCUGGGGGGCGUGAGCCUACGGAAAGUGCAGCAGAGAGCAGACCGCCGACACUGUCGGUAAGGGUGAAAGGGUGCGGUAAGAGCGCACCGCAUCAGUGGUAACACGUGAUGGCAAGGUAAACCCCACCUGGAGCAAGACCAAAUAGGAAUCCGUUCGGCGUGCCUCGCGUUGGAUUCGGGUAGGU
This 261-nucleotide RNase P RNA is filed under the name Gammaproteobacteria bacterium. RNAcentral describes it as "partial RNase P RNA component class A". It matches the Rfam family "Bacterial RNase P class A", at positions 1 to 276 of the family's 367-position model. From Rfam's summary of the family: Ribonuclease P (RNase P) is a ubiquitous endoribonuclease, found in archaea, bacteria and eukarya as well as chloroplasts and mitochondria. Lineage: Bacteria; Pseudomonadati; Pseudomonadota; Gammaproteobacteria. The record is from RNAcentral.